Molecule: long non-coding RNA, 1577 nt
Organism: Mangifera indica (mango)
Lineage: Eukaryota; Viridiplantae; Streptophyta; Magnoliopsida; Sapindales; Anacardiaceae
Exons: 7
Source: RefSeq, a predicted model, not a curated record
UUAUAAUAUUUACUCGGGGAGGUGAUUACAAUUUACUCAAAGUUUUCACAAAGCUUCGUCUUCUUCCCUCCCCUCAUAUCAGUCUCUGAUCUCUGAAACCUUAAUCAACAAGUUUUUGCAUUUAGCUGUUCAUCAUUUUCAUGGCAUCCACUAGCAAGGUUAGAUCUGAAGAAGACGAGUUUGAACGGUUUGAUGAUUUCACUCUCGCUUCUUCGUGGCAGUGUUUAAGGUUCAUUAUGAAAUAGAAGCAAUUUGUAGGCAGUGGUUGGCUGACGGACCAAAGAAUUUGCUGGUUGCUGCUGGCAAAUUCCUAGAUUAGGAUUGGAGUUUGCAUGAUUUGCAUUUGUGCUUUGGAGUAAAGGAAUUUUUGGUAUGCUUCUAUCUGCAUCUUAUACUCCACAUGGCAUUGAUACUUAGUUGCUUUACACUUAAUGUGUGUAAGGUUAUUACUCCUCAGUGCCAGUGGUUUGGUGCUUGAUGUACCAGAGGCUGGCAAGCUUUUAAGUGCAAUUGCAAUAGCCUUGUCAAAUACUUCCAGUGAUUGUGAGUCCAAUCACUGUGUUACAGGGUUUAUUAGUCUGGGGAAGUUGGGUAGGUUCCCUCGGCCAUUAAAAAAAAAAAGUAUGUUUUACAGUCUCGUGUACUUUUGAAUUCUUGUCCUCGCAAAAGCAUUACUUAAAUUUCAUCUAAUGUUGAAGGCCUACUCCACAUUGGACUUCUCGAUACAUCUUUUCAAAGUUCUGUUUACAAUGAAGCUAACUUACCAAACACUUCUCUAUAAUGAUAAUUAAUAAGAGAGAGUUGAAGCUGAAAACGCAGAAUCUGAUCAUUGUUCUGGUGAAAUCAGCAGCCAAAAGCAUUUGGAUGAUUGUCCUUGGAGUGAAUGGUAUUCUACAGAAGACCCAAUAAGAGGAUUUGAUUUGAUUGCCUUAUGAUAAGAGAAGAUGGUUGAAAGCUCAUUAGAAAUGGUUGAAUUGGAAAAUACUCCACCUCAUGAGGCUGAGAACUGGCUUUUAUUUUCAACUAUGUAAGAACUGUCUUUCACUAGAUGGUAUAUGGAGACGCUGACGAAGACAUUCUAAUGUUAUGACCAAAUUAAUGUUUGUGAAUAUACAUUCUUACAUAUUGUUGGACAACAUUGGUUUUCAUUGUUGAAAACUAAAAAGACUUGGUUAUACUUUGUAGGAUAUGAUGGCUUUGAAUUCUUUUGAUAAUCAUUUAUAGUCUAAUGGACCUCUUAUACGACAUUUAUAUCACAAGAAGCGUAGAGUUGAAGGCAACAGAUUGGUAGCUCCUCAUUAGCUAGGAAUUAGCAAAUCAUAGGGAAGCAUGUGGUUGUCCAAGAUUGGAAGAUUGGGAAAGUUGAUUAGAAGGUGCUUUGACUGUUGAAGAAAAGCUGGAGAAAAAAAGAAGAGACAAGGAGAAAAAAAAGUUAAAUGGAGGAUUGAAGGAAGAAGUCGACUCCCAAAUUGCCAAUACCCUUAUUUCUUGUAUAGACUAAUUAAGAGUUUACCCGUAUGCUUGUAAUAAACUGAGGAUGAGCAAUGAAUACAAUCUUGCGUUCAUUUUUUUGUGUA